UUAAGUAUGUAUGAAGCUUAGAACCAGUACCUCCUCCCCUUAAUCCAUUUUAUCCUCCUAGAUCUCUCUUUUGAGUAGGGACAAGAAAUGUACAGAUCAUACAUGCCUCCAAGAGCAACAGGAGAAGGAGGAAGAUAAAAGGAGGAAAGGAGGCCAGCGAGAUGUCUCAUGGGUUAAAAGGGCCUGCCGGCUGUGAUGAAACAGGGGUUUCCGGCUUUUCUCUUCCUCGCUGAUUCUGUUCUGUGCCCGGACCACGAUGCUUCAUCUACAAUCGCCUCACAUUUAGCACAUAGUCAGCGAGUGCCUUGAAUUCAGAAUAACCAUUUCCGGGGCUAAGAAGGAUGAUCGAAACAGUGGAGAUGGGAUUUGGCCAAGAUGAGGUGAGCGUUUCCUGUAGAAGAAGACUUUGACAUAAGGCUGGACGAAGAGGCUAAACCAACCCCUCAGGAGAGAAGAGACAAGCAAGCAACAGCAACAGAAGGAGCAGAAACCAGCUAGAAGAACUGCCAUGCCCCCACGCUUAGGUUUCUGGUCUUUUAACACUCUCCAUAGAGUGUCAGAAUUAAACAAACUGUCUUCAGCUGGCAGAACCACACCCCGGCCAGGGCACACACCAAGCAAAUUGCUGUGGACAGUCUAAAGCAGCUCCAUAUCCCACACCUGAAAUUA
Meriones unguiculatus (Mongolian gerbil) is the source of this 669-nucleotide long non-coding RNA. RefSeq lists it as uncharacterized. The record is from RefSeq and is a predicted model, not a curated record. The transcript is spliced from 3 exons. NCBI's taxonomy places the organism in Eukaryota, Metazoa, Chordata, Mammalia, Rodentia, Muridae.